RNAcentral lists this ribosomal RNA (155 nucleotides) under Oryza glaberrima (African rice). Its description in RNAcentral is "rRNA 5_8S_rRNA". It matches the Rfam family "Bacterial large subunit ribosomal RNA", at positions 13 to 167 of the family's 2925-position model. Lineage: Eukaryota; Viridiplantae; Streptophyta; Magnoliopsida; Poales; Poaceae. The record is from RNAcentral.
AAGGGCGCACGGUGGAUGCCUUGACACUAGGAGUCGAUGAAGGACGGGACUAACGCCGAUAUGCUUCGGGGAGCUGUAAGUAAGCUUUGAUCCGAAGAUUUCCGAAUGGGGAAACCCACCAUACGUAAUGGUAUGGUAUCCUUAUCUGAAUACAU